This 313-nucleotide ribosomal RNA is filed under the name Hydrozoa environmental sample. RNAcentral's name for it is "SSU rRNA". It matches the Rfam family "Eukaryotic small subunit ribosomal RNA", at positions 1140 to 1476 of the family's 1831-position model. The record is from RNAcentral. Lineage: Eukaryota; Metazoa; Cnidaria; Hydrozoa.
AAACUUAAAGGAAUUGACGGAAGGGCACCACCAGGAGUGGAGCCUGCGGCUUAAUUUGACUCAACACGGGAAACCUCACCCGGCCCGGACACCGCGAGGAUUGGCAGACUGAGAGCUCUUUCUCGAUUCGGUGGGUGGUGGUGCAUGGCCGUUCUUAGUUGGUGGAGUGAUCUGUCUGGUUAAUUCCGAUAACGAACGAGACCUUAACCGGCUAAAUAGUCAUGCGAUUCUCGAAUCGUAGCUGACUUCUUAGAGGGACUGUUGGUGUUUAACCAAAGUCAGGAAGGCAAUAACAGGUCUGUGAUGCCCUUAG